Molecule: ribosomal RNA, 245 nt
Filed under: uncultured Streptomyces sp.
Lineage: Bacteria; Bacillati; Actinomycetota; Actinomycetes; Kitasatosporales; Streptomycetaceae
Description: partial 16S ribosomal RNA
Rfam family: Bacterial small subunit ribosomal RNA
Source: RNAcentral
UACGUAGGGCGCAAGCGUUGUCCGGAAUUAUUGGGCGUAAAGAGCUCGUAGGCGGCUUGUCACGUCGGAUGUGAAAGCCCGAGGCUUAACCUCGGGUCUGCAUUCGAUACGGGCUAGCUAGAGUGUGGUAGGGGAGAUCGAAUUCCUGGUGUAGCGGUGAAAUGCGCAGAUAUCAGGAGGAACACCGGUGGCGAAGGCGGAUCUCUGGGCCAUUACUGACGCUGAGGAGCGAAAGCGUGGGGAGC